This 218-nucleotide long non-coding RNA is filed under the name Mustela putorius furo (domestic ferret). Its description in RNAcentral is "lncRNA (ENSMPUG00000031110.1)". Lineage: Eukaryota; Metazoa; Chordata; Mammalia; Carnivora; Mustelidae. The record is from RNAcentral.
GAAGAUAGAAGAUGACAAAAAGAAAAGCAAAAGGAUAUCCAGAGGAAGUGCUAAGCACAUAUUUUUAUAGGGAGUGAUGGUGCAUGCCUUCACAUGAACCACAGCCUAAGGCCAUGGACCCCAUGGACAGCAGCUAAACAGACAAAAAAAUCAGAGUUGUCUCAUCGACUUUUCUGCAAGUUCUGAGUCCCUCUCGGCCCUCUCAGUCCUCUGCUUUC